Pygocentrus nattereri (red-bellied piranha) is the source of this 103-nucleotide small nuclear RNA. The record is from Ensembl. Lineage: Eukaryota; Metazoa; Chordata; Actinopteri; Characiformes; Serrasalmidae.
UCGCUACGGCAGCACAUAUACUAAAAUUGGAUCGAUACAGAGAAGAUUAGCAUGGCCCCUGCGAAAGGAUGACACGCAAAUCCGUGAAGCGCAGUCAUUUUUA